RNAcentral lists this ribosomal RNA (253 nucleotides) under uncultured bacterium. RNAcentral describes it as "partial 16S ribosomal RNA". It matches the Rfam family "Bacterial small subunit ribosomal RNA", at positions 524 to 776 of the family's 1533-position model. The record is from RNAcentral.
UACGUAGGGGGCAAGCGUUGUCCGGAAUCAUUGGGCGUAAAGCGCGCGUAGGCGGCCCUGUAAGUCCGUUGUGAAAGUCGAAGGCUCAACCUUCGAAAGCCGAUGGAUACUGCAGGGCUAGAGUCCGGAAGAGGCGAGUGGAAUUCCUGGUGUAGCGGUGGAAUGCGCAGAUAUCAGGAGGAACACCAAUGGCGAAGGCAGCUCGCUGGGACGUUACUGACGCUGAGACGCGAAAGCGUGGGGAGCAAACAGG